GAUGAACGCUAGCGGCAGGCUUAAUACAUGCAAGUCGAGGGGCAUCAAGGUACACGAAAGUGUAUUGUUGGCGACCGGCGGACGGGUGAGUAAUAGGUAGGUAACCUACCUCAUACUGAGGCAUAGCUGGGAGAAAUUCCAGGUAAUUCCUCAUGAGGUUAUAUGACACAUGUGAUAUAAUCAAAGGUAUCGCAAGGUACUGGUAUGAGAUGGGCUUACUGACCAUUAGCUAGUUGGUGAGGUAACGGCCCACCAAGGCUACGAUGUCUAGGGGUUCUGAGAGGAUUAUCCCCCACACUGGUACUGAGACACGGACCAGACUCCUACGGGAGGCAGCAGUAAGGAAUAUUGGUCAAUGGGCGCAAGCCUGAACCAGCCAUGCCGCGUGAAGGAUGACGGCCCUAUGGGUUGUAAACUUCUUUUGUACGGGAAAAACCUCUGGUCGAGAAUCAGAGCUGAUGGUACCGUAAGAUAAGCAUCGGCUAACU
This 488-nucleotide ribosomal RNA is filed under the name uncultured bacterium. Its description in RNAcentral is "bacterial SSU rRNA". It matches the Rfam family "Bacterial small subunit ribosomal RNA", at positions 28 to 502 of the family's 1533-position model. The record is from RNAcentral.